ACAGCUUUAUGAUCUGUAUACGAUACACGUGUACAUUUCAUACGUCAGCGCAAUGAAAUUCAAAGUUGCAUCUUGUGUGAAAAAAAACAUAGUUGGCGCGUAUGAUACUCGAUCAAAUAUAGUGCAAACAUGGCUUCCGCUGAUGGUUCACUUUAGGAUCUUCCGAUUUCGGCUAGUGCGUUGCAAGUAUUCACAGAGUGCGGAGUGGAUAUAACCGCUUUAAAUUGUUGGACGGAACGGAAAUUAUUGAUGCUAUUUCUUCUGCCCAAGUAAAUUGGAAUACCAGUUUAAUUUGGGAAUGGAUUUCAAAUUGGCGGUGCCGUAAUAAUCUCAAUGGAGCGAUUAUUGAGUGAAAAUGAGAGUCUUCAAUUAUUAUUAUUACGUCACGUAACGUAUUCGUUGUGUAUAAAAUCGUGCUUACAGUUU
Molecule: long non-coding RNA, 426 nt
Organism: Malaya genurostris
Lineage: Eukaryota; Metazoa; Arthropoda; Insecta; Diptera; Culicidae
Exons: 3
Source: RefSeq, a predicted model, not a curated record